This 334-nucleotide unclassified non-coding RNA is filed under the name soil metagenome. RNAcentral's name for it is "partial contains 5.8S ribosomal RNA, internal transcribed spacer 2, and large subunit ribosomal RNA". The stretch from base 1 to 120 matches the Rfam family "5.8S ribosomal RNA", at positions 35 to 154 of the family's 154-position model. The record is from RNAcentral.
GAUGAAGAACGUAGUGAAAUGCGAUAAGUAAUGUGAAUUGCAGAAUUCAGUGAAUCAUCGAAUCUUUGAACGCACAUUGCGCCCGCCAGUAUUCUGGCGGGCAUGCCUGUUCGAGCGUCAUUUCAACCAUCAAGCCCCAGGCUUGUGUUGGAGCCCUGCGGCUGCCGCAGCCUCCCAAAACCAGUGGCGGGCUCGCUAUCACACCGAGUGCAGUAGUUUACUCUUCGCUCAGGGCGUGUGGCGGGUGCUAGCCGUGAAACCCCCAACUUCUCAAGGUUGACCUCGGAUCAGGUAGGAAUACCCGCUGAACUUAAGCAUAUCAAUAAGCGGAGGA